GAUGAACGCUGGCGGCGUGCCUAAUACAUGCAAGUCGAGCGAACAGACGAGGAGCUUGCUCCUCUGACGUUAGCGGCGGACGGGUGAGUAACACGUGGAUAACCUACCUAUAAGUCUGGGAUAACUUCGGGAAACCGGAGCUAAUACCGGAGAAUAUAUUGAACCGCAUGGUUCAAUAGUGAAAGACGGUUUUGCUGUCACUUAUAGAUGGAUCCGCGCCGCAUUAGCUAGUUGGUAAGGUAACGGCUUACCAAGGCAACGAUGCGUAGCCGACCUGAGAGGGUGAUCGGCCACACUGGAACUGAGACACGGUCCAGACUCCUACGGGAGGCAGCAGUAGGGAAUCGUCCGCAAUGGGCGAAAGCCUGACGGAGCAACGCCGCGUGAGUGAUGAAGGUCUUCGGAUCGUAAAACUCUGUUAUUAGGGAAGAACAAAUGUGUAAGUAACUAUGCACGUCUUGACGGUACCUAAUCAGAAAGCCACGGCUAACUACGUG
This 497-nucleotide ribosomal RNA is filed under the name uncultured bacterium. Its description in RNAcentral is "partial 16S ribosomal RNA". It matches the Rfam family "Bacterial small subunit ribosomal RNA", at positions 28 to 507 of the family's 1533-position model. The record is from RNAcentral.